Molecule: ribosomal RNA, 508 nt
Filed under: uncultured bacterium
Lineage: Bacteria
Description: bacterial SSU rRNA
Rfam family: Bacterial small subunit ribosomal RNA
Source: RNAcentral
ACAGUUUGAUCCUGGCUCAGAUUGAACGCUGGCGGCAGGCCUAACACAUGCAAGUCGAGCGGAUGAUGGGAGCUUGCUCCCGGAUUCAGCGGCGGACGGGUGAGUAAUGCCUAGGAAUCUGCCUGGUAGUGGGGGACAACGUUUCGAAAGGAACGCUAAUACCGCAUACGUCCUACGGGAGAAAGCAGGGGACCUUCGGGCCUUGCGCUAUCAGAUGAGCCUAGGUCGGAUUAGCUAGUUGGUGGGGUAAAGGCCUACCAAGGCGACGAUCCGUAACUGGUCUGAGAGGAUGAUCAGUCACACUGGAACUGAGACACGGUCCAGACUCCUACGGGAGGCAGCAGUGGGGAAUAUUGGACAAUGGGCGAAAGCCUGAUCCAGCCAUGCCGCGUGUGUGAAGAAGGUCUUCGGAUUGUAAAGCACUUUAAGUUGGGAGGAAGGGCANUAAGUUAAUACCUUGCUGUUUUGACGUUACCACAGAAUAAGCACCCGGCUACUUCGUGCCAGC